RNAcentral lists this long non-coding RNA (1872 nucleotides) under Malus domestica (apple). RNAcentral describes it as "long non-coding RNA (MDOM_LNC010549)". The record is from RNAcentral. Lineage: Eukaryota; Viridiplantae; Streptophyta; Magnoliopsida; Rosales; Rosaceae.
UUAAAUUUAUAGACAAAAUUUGCAAACUAAUUAAUGUGUUACUAAUAAAAAUGAACACGUUCAUAAACGUUUAAGUAAUAACCUAAUCAUCAACUUCCAUGUUAUUUAGUUUACAAAAUUUUAUCUACAAAUUUAUUCUCCUUAACAUUACUAUUAUAUUUUAAAAGAAAAUGAACCAUGACAUAAAAAAUAAGGCACAACUUAACUCAAUAAAUGUGCCAAACUUGCAACAUUAUAUUCACUUUUUUAUGUGUCCACCUGUCAAGAUGAUGGUUACACAAUCCGUGUUGAAGAUUUAAGAUAAGAUUAUACAUGAAAUAUACAACUGCUCUUUCAUUCUUUCUUCCUUGAAGAUGUGCUCCUUCCUAUGUGCUAAUUAUAUUGAAACGCAUUAUUUAAUCGUGGAACGCUAUGAUUGCAUUAUAAUAUCUGACUUGAUUUAAAAACAGGCAAAUUGUAGAAACAUAUUACGCACAAUUGAGUCGUGUAGCCAAGGACAAAAGUUCCCUUUAACUUGCCCAAUAUACAUUUGUUUUCUAAUACAACGAUACUAAAGAUAGGAGGUCGUGCCAACUCAAAUAAUGGCACUUUUGAACUUGUAAUUAGUAAACCACGAUAAGUGGCCAAAUAAAAAAAUAUGGUAGACUUUCAAGUUACGUAUGCUCAAUGGUCUUUGGGUCGGGGAACGAAACUGGUAAAAACAUCGGUGAUUAUCUAGUUGAAAGCUUUGGAAAAACAUGUGUUAUUGUAGCUAGGUAGGGGUACCGAUUACUAUACCAAAUAUUUGGUACAAUAAAAUCUAUUACCAUUACCGUACCAAAUAUCGGUAUACCAAAUAGUUUGGUUGGUAUGGUAUGCCAAUGGUAAUUGCCACUUUGUUUUAGGCUACUUAGUUUGGCCAAAAUCUAAUAUUUUUCUAACCUAAUUCAAGGCCCAGAAAAUAUACACAGUUAAUGUACUGGUCUUUACAAGUCAAUGAAAACCAUGAAAACAUAAACAUGGUAAUGAAGCUUUAUAGUUUCAAGUGAGAUUAACACAAAACUAACAAAACUGCUGCUGCUGAUCAAUGGACAGCAGCAGGCAGCAGUAUCUUCAACCUCGAGUUUCGACAUAUAUCCAGUUAUAUAAAUGUAAACAAAAGCUACAAAGCUAGCCUAGUACUACUCACUAAAUAAUUCAACUGCACAUCAUCAUCAAUGUUUCUUUUGCUGCACUUUGCAAAAAAUAAGCAUAAUAAUACUGCUGUGGAACCAAAAAUAAUCAAAAGGCGACACGUGGAUUUUUGGGUGAAGAUGACAAAUUUACCCUUGAGGCAUACCGGGUUUCCUACACGCGAGCAGUGGAGAAUCAUCCAUCAACCAAAUCAGGAGUACCCAAAAUAGGUAACAAGUUCAAAUUUGUCUCAUCCAUCCUCAUUCCAUAACCUCCCAAAACCUCCCAAAACAUUUCUUUUAUUACGAUAAUUAACCAAUUAAUAUAUUUAUACCUAAUUAAUAUAUUAAUUGUUGCUAAAUUGAAUCACCAAGGCCACACUCCCCUAUAAAAGCCCUAUUCUCUUCUCCAAAAGACACCUCUUAUUCACUUGCUAAAAUUCUCCAAAAUUCUCAAACACCUUCUCUCUAAAUUCUAAUUUUGGCAUCGGAGGUUCUUCGGCCAAAGUCCCCCCUCAUUCAUCGUGGACGCGUGAGGCUCUUGGCCUUGACCUAAGGUGUAAAUUGUUUUGUAGGUGCAAUCUUGUCCAAGAUCAAGAGGAAGAAAUUUGCAUCCACAACUGCUACAUAACUACUUCUGCUACUUACCAUGACAUGUGAGAUCCACAGUAUCACUAUAACACGUGUUCCCAAUCCAUAGAAGUUACAAGCCAAAUCAAAU